AUUGAACGCUGGCGGCAGGCUUAACACAUGCAAGUCGAACGAGUGGCGGACGGGUGAGUAAUGCUUGGGAAUCUAGCUUAUGGAGGGGGAUAACUACGGGAAAAUGUAGCUAAUACCGCGUACCAUAGGAGGAGCCCAUGUGUGAUUAGGUAGUUGGUGGGGUAAAGGCUCACCAAGCCGACGAUCUGUAGCUGGUCUGAGAGGAUGACCAGCCACACUGGGACUGAGACACGGCCCAGACUCCUACGGGAGGCAGCAGUGGGGAAUAUUGGGCAAUGGGGGCAACCUGACGCAGCCAUGCCGCGUGAAUGAAGAAGGCCUUCGGGUUGUAAAGUUCUUUUGGCAGGGAGGCGUUACCUACAGAAGAAGCACCGGCUAACUCCGUGCCAGCCGCCGCGGUAAUUC
Molecule: ribosomal RNA, 405 nt
Filed under: uncultured bacterium
Lineage: Bacteria
Description: partial 16S ribosomal RNA
Rfam family: Bacterial small subunit ribosomal RNA
Source: RNAcentral